UAAAAUGGUUUAUUUAAAAAGUAAGGAUUAAGUACAUUAUACAUGGUUGUGAUUAUACCAGUAGAACUGAAGCACAGUGGAAAUAACACUUUAGAACUGCAGACAGAAAUGUAGCCUCAAGGGACAUGAUAUAUUAGCCCUUGUGGAUAUGUGAUCCAUACAGAGAGAAAAAGAAACAGAAAAAAUAGUUUAUUGUUAGAUGUCUGGGCAGCUGAAGUGAUUUCUCCUUUUACUCCUAUUGUGUAUGAGAAACAAGGAAGAGAGAGCUCAUGGUAUACCUGAAAUUUUGUUUCUUGGAAAAUCAAAUCUGAUCCAAUAGCUUUUUUUUUUUUUUUAGUUCUGUUUCUACAGUGUGUUAUAUACCAAAAGACUGAUAAUUGCUAAUGAUAUGGUUUUAUGGUAUCUGCAGGCCUUGCUGGGAAAUGGGGCUCAUUUGUUAGAUGCUGUCCAGGGAAACCAGAGAGAUGUGGAAGAACAGAUAAUUUUUUUUAAACUAUCACUGGGUGGUUUCAAAGGCUGAGCACAAUCUGACUCUGUUGAGAUAGAUCAACCAUGGAGCAAGACUGCUCAUGGGCAGGAAUGCUGCAAAUUUUUCAGUUUUGUCAGAAUCAAAGUUUUUCAUGGAAAAGGACCAGGGUUUUGAGUUUUUUGAGGGGUUUUUUGUGGUUUUAUUUUUGUUUGUUUGUUUUCUGGAGUUGUCAAAUGAUUUGUUUUUAGCUUUGGCUUUGGUUGAACAAUUUGCUGCACUGCAACUUAACUGCUGAGUUUUCAGUCGCAGCCCUUGUUGCCUCACAGGAGAAAAGCUCUGGUCCCUGUUAUGUCCACAUGACUUUGUUCCCUGUCCAGACCCCAUGAGCAUCUCAUGAUCCCCACUCCAGCUCCAUUUCUUGAAGGUGCCUGCUGGAGAAGGAGCAGAUGCUCCAGCUUGGACCAAAUCAGGGCAUCACUCCUGGAGAGCUGCUGGACCCAGCCCUGCCCCGGGGGAGGAGGCAAAGAGCAACAUCCCAAAACGCUCAGCAAGACUUUCUCUGCCAAAAACACUGCACGUGCCUCUGCAGGGCUGAGCUGGGCUGGAGAAAAUCCUUGGACUUUGUCUGGAAUCAGAUGGGUGGCUUGAAGCACAUUCACUGGAGAACGACGACUAAAAGAACAAAACCCACGCGCGAGCAAACCUGACACUGUCCACUUCCAGUUCAAGGUACAUGAGAUUAGAGAAACAGCCUAUAUCUAACUCCUGGUUUGAAAGGGAAUGGUUUUAUUCUUAAUUACAGGAAACACGGAUGAGGACUUAGUUCUAACUAUUAGUUUUUUAACACAGUGGGAAACAAAUAGUUCUGGGAAAUUGCACUUGAAAAAUACAUUGACUAUAAUUAGAUGUAAAUUAAUUAGCACUUAGUAUGACACACUAAUGAGACAGAAGGUUGGAUUUUUUUUCAUUGCAAACUUCUACUUCUAUCAUAGCUAAUCAAAGUAUUUUAAUAUUACGAAGUCUCAAAAAGUAGGAAAUAAUUUAUUGUUUGAAAGCAUAAAGAUUCUUGUAAAAAAAACCUUUCAUCAAGAACUUUAAUAAUUUUAGAACCCUUUUAUGUUGUCCUAGCCGAAAAGUAGGUAAAAAAGUUUUCUUUUCUGCCUCUGUUUGAAUUUUUUUUAAAAAGCUUGUGUAACAUCUUUCUCCAUAGUGUGUUGAUACAGAAAGUAGCACAACAUUUUCUAGUUUUAAAUCAUUCCCAUCGCUCCAUUCGCUUUAGCUCUCAGAGUUCAGAGGUUUGAAAAAAGGAUCCCAGCGGAGUUUUAACCUGAAUGGAAACUCUUAAUGAGCAGGGAUGAAGGCUCCAACCCACCCCUGCCAAAAUAACGAUGAGGCUGUGCCAGGCUGAGGGCCAGGCAGAGCUUAACAGUGACUAGGGGAAGACUCUCGCUUAAAAUUGAGAAUUGUGUCUUGGUUCUUGCAAGGAGAGAGGCUUGAGUGGGUUUCUCUGGGGGGAGAGGGAUUCAACUUCCUUUUUGGGAUGUUAAGGCAGCUGCUCCAGGAUUUCCCUGGAGGACUUGGUUCCACUAGCUGAAAGCCUCAUAUCCAAACCACCACUGAGUCUGACUCUGGGGCCAUCAGAGGAUAAAUUAAGACUAAAGAGGUUUUAACAGUUUGGCUGAGAUCUCCCACUACCAGUGACCCAAACUUUCCAAAUUAUGGAUUUUUUUCUUGUGGAGUGUUCUGCUAGCAAAGAUUUUCUGGGUGAAGAUGAUGGGGCUAUUCAGAGGAAUCUACAGGAAUUAGAUGCUCCUCUCUCACUGCAUCUAAUUCAUCUGAGGGGAAUCGGGCACCUCAUUCUCAUAUGGCUUGGUCGAGUGGUCACUAAAAUCAGCAUGAGUACUAUUAAAUUAAAUUACCUUUGAGUCAGGCCAUCGAGCUUUGAGAUCCAAGCCUAAGUAUAAAAACUGAAAGCAGGAAUUUAUAAGAAAAGAAAAUAAUAUUCAGACUCUUUUAGAAACAGACAGAAGCAAAGGGUACAAAUUAGUUCCCUCCUUACGUGAUGCAUAGAGUUUGCUGUGGGCUCUCUGCACGUAAGUAGAUGCAUCAUUACAAAAUAAAUUAAAUUAGGUCAAACCACCAUUUCCAUCUAAAAGCAACUAUACCUUGCACCAUGCGGCACUUAAUUCAUAAUAAAAAGAGUUUAAUAAAUAUCUCAUAAACGGUGAUUAUUUUUUUCCUUUUUUUUUCUUUUUUUUUUUCUUUUUUUUUUUUUGUUCUGUUUUAAAAAAUACAAAGUUGUCAUCUGCUCUGCUGACACUCGGCUCCCGUUGCUGCGGGAAGGUUCGCGAGUCCGGGCGCGUUCUCGUCUGGUUGCUCAGAGAUCUCCGUUUCCCAUUCCCUCCUGGUUGCUCAGAGAUCUCCGUUUCCAUUCCCUCCUGGUUGCUCAGAGAUCUCUGUUUCCAUUCUCUCCAGGUUGCUCAGAGAUCUCCGUUUCCCAUUCUCUCCAGGUUGCUCAGAGAUCUCCGUUUCCAUUCUCUCCAGGUUGCUCAGAGAUCUCCAUUUCCAUUCUCUCCUGUUGUUCAGAGACCUCUGUUUCCAUUCUCUCCCGGUUUCUCAGAGAUCUCUGUUUCCAGUAGCGUUAGUGUUGCACUUGUGAAGCCGAAGGGAAUCGGGGAAUCGGCGGCGGCUCUGCCCUGCUCCCGCCGCGCUCGGGCAAAUCUCCAGGGGCUCCUGACAGCCAGCACUCAGCACCUUGCCGGAUCAGGCACUAGGGCUCGUCGAAAUGAGAAUUCAAGUUUUCUAAACGUUAGGCAAGAAAUGAUGCUUGCAAAUAGGCUCAAGUCCCACCUGCUUUAAUCUGUUUCCCUUUCCAGGUGUUUCAAGACGCACCCACCCUCUGCUCCUCGGCCUGUGCUGCCCCAAGGGAUGCCUUACCCCAGGAAUGGGAGACCCCCUUCCCACCCCAUCAGAGAGUCUCUAAUGCUCAGUACGUGGGUGCUCUACGGUUUCAGUGGCACAGGUCAGUUUUAGAAAGUGUUGCCUUCAAAAAUAUUUUCUUUUUUUUUUCUUUUUUUUCUUUUUUUUUUUUUAUUUUGAAAGAGGCAAAGCUUACGCCGUGUUGAAGGAAAGUGGCUCACUUGAUGAGUAGCUCAUUUUCAUCCUUGGGCUUGGUUAUAAAUUAUAUUUGCAAGUUUGUAUUAAGGGAUCUCAAUAUUAGAAAAAAAAAAAAAAGUACAACAAAUUUUCUGUAAUCCUUUAAAACACACUGGUGGCCAGUCCUUUGCAGUUUCUCCAAGACUGUGUAGACACUACAAAAGUGCAGGAACAUGAACUGC
Long non-coding RNA from Zonotrichia leucophrys gambelii, 3807 nucleotides. RefSeq lists it as uncharacterized. The transcript has 2 exons. The record is from RefSeq and is a predicted model, not a curated record. NCBI's taxonomy places the organism in Eukaryota, Metazoa, Chordata, Aves, Passeriformes, Passerellidae.